CCUUCUCCGCUCGUUCCUCUUCCCAUCGCGCCGAGCCUUCUUCUGCCCGAGCCGUCCUCGACGCCGGCACUUCUUCUUCCUCUCCUCUCUCGCGGACAAAAAGGGGCAGCCAAGGAGUCUCGAUUCUUCUCUUCGUCUCUGCCCCAAAGUCUCCUCCUCGCCUCUGCGCGGCGUCGAAGUCGUUUCCUCUUCCCCAUCUCUGCUAUCCCUCUCUGCCAAGCCUCUCCCGACACCUUCUCCCCUCUCUGUGCUCGUUGCCCUAGCUUCCAUACCCGAGCACCGUCCAACACCUACUGGCGUCGCCUUUCCUCUCCUUCCCUCUGCCCUAGCGGUGGCCAGCUGAACCCUAGAUCGUUGCUGGCGCACCUAUGCCCUAGAUCGCUGGAAGCAGAGAGCCCGAAUAGGCGAUAGAGAGCUGUGGAGAUCUAGCGGUGUGACUGAGAGCAGCAGUUCUGGUUUUGUUCUUAGCAAUAACUUCAUUGUAGCUUCGGCUAUGGAGCAUCGGUUGAUCAUCCGGAUUGAGGACUUUAACGCGAGACGAGCAUCUUGACGUUGGAUUUGGGUCGGAUUGGACCCUUCUAUUGGAGGCGGGUACCUUGACUUAUCUUUGAUAAUGUCAUGUUG
Molecule: long non-coding RNA, 624 nt
Organism: Zingiber officinale
Lineage: Eukaryota; Viridiplantae; Streptophyta; Magnoliopsida; Zingiberales; Zingiberaceae
Exons: 3
Source: RefSeq, a predicted model, not a curated record